GACGAACGCUGGCGGCGUGCUUAACACAUGCAAGUCGAGCGGUAAGGCCCUUUCGGGGGUACGACGAGCGGCGAACGGGUGAGUAACACGUGGGUGACCUGCCCUCAGCUCUGGGAUAAGCCUGGGAAACCGGGUCUAAUACCGGAUAUGACUCCAUGACGCAUGUUGUGGGGUGGAAAGCCUUGUGCGGCUGAGGAUGGGCCCGCGGCCUAUCAGCUUGUUGUGGGGUGAUGGCCUACCAAGGCGACGACGGGUAGCCGGCCUGAGAGGGCGACCGGCCACACUGGGACUGAGACACGGCCCAGACUCCUACGGGAGGCAGCAGUGGGGAAUCUUGCGCAAUGGGCGAAAGCCUGACGCAGCGACGCCGCGUGA
Molecule: ribosomal RNA, 375 nt
Filed under: uncultured bacterium
Lineage: Bacteria
Description: bacterial SSU rRNA
Rfam family: Bacterial small subunit ribosomal RNA
Source: RNAcentral